Molecule: ribosomal RNA, 254 nt
Filed under: uncultured bacterium
Lineage: Bacteria
Description: partial 16S ribosomal RNA
Rfam family: Bacterial small subunit ribosomal RNA
Source: RNAcentral
UACGUAGGGUGCAAGCGUUGUCCGGAAUUAUUGGGCGUAAAGAGCUCGUAGGCGGUCUGUCGCGUCUGCUGUGAAAACUCGGGGCUUAACCCCGGGCCUGCAGUGGGUACGGGCAGACUAGAGUGCGGUAGGGGAGACUGGAAUUCCUGGUGUAGCGGUGAAAUGCGCAGAUAUCAGGAGGAACACCGGUGGCGAAGGCGGGUCUCUGGGCCGUAACUGGACGCUGAGGAGCGAAAGCAUGGGGAGCGAACAGG